Long non-coding RNA from Mesocricetus auratus (golden hamster), 953 nucleotides. RefSeq lists it as uncharacterized. Lineage: Eukaryota; Metazoa; Chordata; Mammalia; Rodentia; Cricetidae. The record is from RefSeq and is a predicted model, not a curated record. The transcript is spliced from 2 exons.
UAGAAAUUUACAUUAUAUUGACAAAUGAGCUGAAUAAGUACAAUACCUUGAACAUUACCUUAGAAACAUACAAAAUGUCUUAACAAAUUAAUCUUAAACUUGUGUCAAUAUACAAUAUUUGUAUACUGAAAGGGUUAAAAAUCAGCAACUUUUUCAGCAUAGAGCAACUCCACCUUGACCUCCAAGUUACCCAGUUCCACCAUGUUCCAAGGAAUUUAGAAAAAAACACUUUUGGGAAAAGUGAAAAGGUCACAAUGUGACCCCCAAACCAAAGAAUGUUCCCUCCUCAUGACAACCAACAAAAAUAUGAAUUCCCCGAGCCCCCACGUCAAUGAAUCCAAAGGUCAUCUACUCUUAUCCAAUCCUGAACAGCCAAGGCUGUACCACCCUUCUUGCGUUUUUUUCCCUUUAAAAGCCCCUUGCAAUUGAGGCUGGGCAACCUUUUGCUGCAACUGCUGUGCCAGUGUGCUCAACACGUCCCUGCCGAGGCUUGUAACUUAACAUUAAAGCUUAUUCAUUUGCAUCAGUGAGUCAGCUGUUUGGUGGUGUUUUUGGGUUCUCACGAACUUGGCAUAACAUACGGCGUCUUGCCUGGGAUUCCCAAGAACCCCAAGGACCUCGGACCCUGAAGGUUUAAUUCCCCACCGGUCGAAAACACUGGCAGCCAAGGACACUCUAUGCCAAGCAGCGAUGCUCACCCGCCCUUCCCUCCCAAGGCCAAACUAUUCUUCACCGUGGUAACAGCCAAGGUCUCCUCUGCUGGCCAGCAACUCCCCACCUUAACUCUUCUCUGCCCUGAUUCUGCUUAGAAAACAAAAAUGUUAAAUCAUGCCAGACUGUAUACUGUGGGAAGCUUUGACUUUAGAAUAGAAGUCAAAGAUACAUUAUGUUUGGAAAAAAUUAUGCUUUUGUUUCCACAAGAAAAGAAAAAUAUAUGGACUUUAGUCAUUUAA